UCGAGCGCGCCAAAGGUCAUGCAAAUUCAGCUAGUUCAAUGUGGUGGCUAUAGCUCAGUUGGUAGAGCCCCGGAUU
Molecule: transfer RNA, 76 nt
Filed under: Aggregatibacter actinomycetemcomitans NUM4039
Lineage: Bacteria; Pseudomonadati; Pseudomonadota; Gammaproteobacteria; Pasteurellales; Pasteurellaceae
Description: tRNA-His
Source: RNAcentral